This 358-nucleotide ribosomal RNA is filed under the name uncultured bacterium. RNAcentral's name for it is "partial 16S ribosomal RNA". It matches the Rfam family "Bacterial small subunit ribosomal RNA", at positions 338 to 693 of the family's 1533-position model. The record is from RNAcentral.
CCUACGGGAGGCAGCAGUGAGGAAUAUUGGUCAAUGGGCGGAAGCCUGAACCAGCCAAGUAGCGUGCAGGAUGACGGCCCUACGGGUUGUAAACUGCUUUUAUACGGGAAUAACGCGCCUUACGUGUAGGGCUUUGCAUGUACCGUAUGAAUAAGGACCGGCUAAUUCCGUGCCAGCAGCCGCGGUAAUACGGAGGGUGCGGGCGUUAUCCGGUUUUAUUGGGUUUAAAGGGAGCGUAGGCCGCAUGUCAAGCGUGCGGGGAAAUGUUCGGGCUCAACCCGGGCCUUGCGGUGCGAACUGGGGGGCUUGAGUCCGUGGAAGGCAGGCGGAAGUCGUGGUGUAGCGGGGAAAUGCUUAG